This 484-nucleotide ribosomal RNA is filed under the name uncultured bacterium. Its description in RNAcentral is "partial 16S ribosomal RNA". It matches the Rfam family "Bacterial small subunit ribosomal RNA", at positions 29 to 507 of the family's 1533-position model. The record is from RNAcentral.
AUUGAACGCUGGAGGCAUGCUUUACACAUGCAAGUCGAACGGCAGCGCGGGCUUCGGCCUGGCGGCGAGUGGCGAACGGGUGAGUAAUGCAUCGGAACGUGCCCAGUAGUGGGGGAUAGCCCGGCGAAAGCCGGAUUAAUACCGCAUACGACCUGAGGGUGAAAGCGGGGGACCGAAAGGCCUCGCGCUAUUGGAGCGGCCGAUGUCGGAUUAGCUAGUUGGUGGGGUAAAGGCUUACCAAGGCGACGAUCCGUAGCUGGUCUGAGAGGACGACCAGCCACACUGGGACUGAGACACGGCCCAGACUCCUACGGGAGGCAGCAGUGGGGAAUUUUGGACAAUGGGGGCAACCCUGAUCCAGCCAUGCCGCGUGCGGGAAGAAGGCCUUCGGGUUGUAAACCGCUUUUGUUCGGGAAGAAAUCCUCUGGGCUAAUACCCCGGGGGGAUGACGGUACCGGAAGAAUAAGCACCGGCUAACUACGUG